AGUGAACGCUGGCGGUAGGCCUAACACAUGCAAGUCGAACGGCAGCACAGUAAGAGCUUGCGCUUACGGGUGGCGAGUGGCGGACGGGUGAGGAAUACAUCGGAAUCUACUUUUUCGUGGGGGAUAACGUAGGGAAACUUACGCUAAUACCGCAUACGACCUACGGGUGAAAGCAGGGGAUCUUCGGACCUUGCGCGAUUGAAUGAGCCGAUGUCGGAUUAGCUAGUUGGCGGGGUAAAGGCCCACCAAGGCGACGAUCCGUAGCUGGUCUGAGAGGAUGAUCAGCCACACUGGAACUGAGACACGGUCCAGACUCCUACGGGAGGGAGCAGUGGGGAAUAUUGGACAAUGGGCGCAAGCCUGAUCCAGCCAUACCGCGUGGGUGAAGAAGGCCUUCGGGUUGUAAAGCCCUUUUGUUGGGGAAGAAAAGCAGCAGGUUAAUACCCCGCUGUUCUGACGGUACCCAAAGAAUAAGCACCGGCUAACUUCGUG
This 492-nucleotide ribosomal RNA is filed under the name uncultured bacterium. RNAcentral describes it as "partial 16S ribosomal RNA". It matches the Rfam family "Bacterial small subunit ribosomal RNA", at positions 29 to 507 of the family's 1533-position model. The record is from RNAcentral.